Molecule: ribosomal RNA, 253 nt
Filed under: uncultured bacterium
Lineage: Bacteria
Description: partial 16S ribosomal RNA
Rfam family: Bacterial small subunit ribosomal RNA
Source: RNAcentral
GACGGAGGAUGCAAGCGUUAUCCGGAAUGAUUGGGCGUAAAGCGUCCGCAGGUGGCAGUUCAAGUCCGCUGUCAAAGACCGGGGCUUAACUUCGGAAAGGCAGUGGAAACUGAACAGCUAGAGUAUGGUAGGGGCAGAGGGAAUUCCUGGUGUAGCGGUGAAAUGCGUAGAGAUCAGGAAGAACAUCGGUGGCGAAGGCGCUCUGCUGGACCAUAACUGACACUCAGGGACGAAAGCUAGGGGAGCGAAUGGG